This 594-nucleotide ribosomal RNA is filed under the name uncultured Bacteroidota bacterium. RNAcentral's name for it is "bacterial SSU rRNA". It matches the Rfam family "Bacterial small subunit ribosomal RNA", at positions 122 to 715 of the family's 1533-position model. Lineage: Bacteria; Pseudomonadati; Bacteroidota. The record is from RNAcentral.
CAACCUGCCGAUGACUCGGGGAUAGCCUUUCGAAAGAAAGAUUAAUACCCGAUGGCAUAGUUCUUCCGCAUGGUGGAACUAUUAAAGAAUUUCGGUCAUCGAUGGGGAUGCGUUCCAUUAGGUUGUUGGCGGGGUAACGGCCCACCAAGCCUUCGAUGGAUAGGGGUUCUGAGAGGAAGGUCCCCCACAUUGGAACUGAGACACGGUCCAAACUCCUACGGGAGGCAGCAGUGAGGAAUAUUGGUCAAUGGACGAGAGUCUGAACCAGCCAAGUAGCGUGAAGGAUGACUGCCCUAUGGGUUGUAAACUUCUUUUAUACGGGAAUAAAGUGAGGCACGUGUGCCUUUUUGUAUGUACCGUAUGAAUAAGGAUCGGCUAACUCCGUGCCAGCAGCCGCGGUAAUACGGAGGAUCCGAGCGUUAUCCGGAUUUAUUGGGUUUAAAGGGAGCGUAGGCGGACGCUUAAGUCAGUUGUGAAAGUUUGCGGCUCAACCGUAAAAUUGCAGUUGAUACUGGGUGUCUUGAGUACAGUAGAGGCAGGCGGAAUUCGUGGUGUAGCGGUGAAAUGCUUANAUAUCACGAAGAACUCCGAUUG